Molecule: long non-coding RNA, 676 nt
Organism: Cotesia glomerata
Lineage: Eukaryota; Metazoa; Arthropoda; Insecta; Hymenoptera; Braconidae
Exons: 3
Source: RefSeq, a predicted model, not a curated record
AUCAACAAACCAAUGAAAAUUUAUCUAUUGUAAAUAAUUUAUAAACCGGCUGAAUACUUUUGAACAGUUCACUGACUGACCAAAGGCGCGGUUGGUCUAUGCUGAAAGUUUUAAAACAUCUCAAGUACUUCCAGAUUCAAGACAGUUUUUUUUUUCAAAUUAUUACAUCAAUGUCUUACUCUAAUAUGGCUGUAAACAAACAAUCAAAUUUAAAAAUGAGUUUAAAACCUGGUUACGUUAUAUAUCCGGAUAACACGUAUUAAUAAAUAUGUAUAAAUCCUUGAGCUUCGAGGAAGAGAGCAUUAACAGCGGCGAUGACACCUAAUGAACCGGUGGCUAUUUCUAAAUGCCCGGAUGUAUUUGUCACUAUGUGAAUCCCCUGAUUACUUGGUGUCUAGCUCUAGGCGGCAAUCCAUGAAAGCGUCAUUACAUAUUACGACAGUGAACGGACGCUAGCUAUAACCUCGUGCAAGGUCAUGCUGCUGUGUACAUAUAAGUGUACGCAGGUAAUAUCGUCCUAUAUUCUACAACUUCUAGUUUGCAACAAAGUUGUUGUAUGCUGAGAAAAAAUAAAAACUAUGCCCAGACUAGGAUUUCUUGGCUAAAAAAUUUUUUAAAGUGAACAAUUUGAUAUAUUAAUUUUUUGACGCAAGAAUAUCAAUAUUUAUUUUCAUUA